AAAGGGAGACGGGAGAGGCCUAAAAGCGACAGAAACGCAGGACUCUCGCCCCUACACACCUUCCUGCCAGCCAGAGGAGGGGUCUGGGACUGAGAGAAGACCAGUGCUGACUGAGAUUAUUCAAAACCAAACAAAGCCAUCAUGGAGAACAGUGGGUUCCAGACACUUGGGUGAGGCCCUGAGAAAUGAAGUGAGCCCACACCACGACCCAGGAUGGAGUUCUCCAAGCAUAUCCUAGCAGGACCGUUUUCACUAGUCGAUGGUUCACCUCUCAUUGCUUCUUCCCAGUUGAGCUUAGAUUUCUAGAUUCCCAUGGUAGUGCUUAGCAACAUCCCUGGAGUGAUCAGGAGGAGGGGAUUCCUAUUCUAGGCUCCUCAGGCACACACAAAAGAGGGUGAGGCUGGCUGACUUGUGAGGAAGAGCAGUAGGAACAGGGAAAUACUAGAAGACAGCUCAUCAUGCUGAAUGGAUCUCCACCACCAUACCUGUAGCGCCCUGGACAGUUGAGGUAAGGGUGGGGCCAGCUAUAGCUCCAGGGUUUGCACCCAGUCUUCUUUGAGCCAAGCAAAGCUGCCAUGUGGGGUGUUCUCCCUGCAGAGAGCUUGCCUAACACUGGGCCAAGUGGCACUUUCUCAUGGCUUCACAGAAGACAGCGUCUCAUGAAGGCAAGCCAAGGACACAGACAGGGAGGAAAGGAAGUGGAAGAACAGCGAAUCAGCAUAGUAAGAAAGGAAAGGGGGGUGGAAAAAGAGGCAGGGUUCAACAGUCCAAGCCCAUGCAGUGGUUUUCACAGUGUUCUGAUUUGGAGUCUAGUUUGAAGAGGAUGAUUUCAUAGUCUGUGUAGGAAUAAGGGGCAUUUUUACUGAAAAAUGCAAAAAAAAAAAAAAAAAUUCAUUUUCAGUUGUUACAUCCAGGUCAGUUUUAUGGGUACAGCUAAUCUCUGGUUAAAUGUUAACACUUCAGUUAUCCUAAGGGAAAAAUGACUGACCCCCAACCUUCCCCUUUCCCAGCAUUUGGAGAAAAUAAAGGAUUAGGUAAAAGGCUUUCAUUUUUCCUCAUUCUCCACUGUGGGCAGGGGUUCAUGUAACAGUUGGAAGCCAUUUUUAACAGGAAACCCAAGUAAAUCCAGAAGAGAUUCACUCACAGAGCUUACAUUUUGCUAGAAAAUGAGAACUUUUAACUAAAAAUUGACAAGUUUCCCCUCUCUCCAUCUUUCUUCCCUCUUAUCUCUCCUCAUCUCCCUCCCAUUGCUCUAGUGGAAAAUGACUGUGGUGAGUUGGGUUUACAUUUUGAGCAAGAUGGGAGCCUCUAUAUCCAAGAGAUGCCACCAAGAGACUACAUUUUGUUGUUGGAUCCCUGUAAAACAGAAUUUUAAUUUUCUUAGACUGUAAAAUUGAUCACAUUUACUGAUGGUGGAUUGGGAAGUACGGUGAGGUGAGUUGGGGAGGUUUCAUUUAUCCAGUGGUGUUAUUGCCAUUUUAAUGUGAUCUUCUGCUGAGUAUUUGCUUUCUAAAAUCUAUUCCCUCUCAGGAUUCUUUUUCACUCAGUCCUUUUAGAAGAUUGAUGCAAACAGAUUUCCAAUUCAUUUCCAUAGAAAGUCUUCAUUCCUGUCAGCAGGAGAGCUUUGUUAGGUGGUAGGAACAUAAGGCUGUGGGUCUCUUAACUAACACUACUAUUCCAAAAUACAGAUGCUUUCCAUCUGUGAGUCCUGAUCUCUCUCCAUUCCUCAAGAUGCUCGACUUCCAUGACUCCUCUUUCCUCUGCUCAGGUCACAUAUGUGGAGCUGGAAAGGAUCCCUGAUGAUUGGCAGUGACAAUGGUGGAAUGUGGAGGUGAAGUUAACACCUUCACACCUACAGAUUUCCCUUAGCAGAGCUGUGGAGUGUGACAAUGGUGUUUGUGUCCAAACUAUCAAACGCCAUCAUCACACUAAAUAGCUACUGCUAGGCAAUCCUUCCACUCAGUAUAAGUCUUGGCAACUGUUUGGUCUGGGCAAGAAGGCUCAUCUUAUACCAACCAGUGUUCUCUAUCAUGUGUAACUUGGAAUAAAGUCUGAUACUCUUGUGGUCAUAACUAUUUGCCUGCCUGAA
Molecule: long non-coding RNA, 2089 nt
Organism: Heterocephalus glaber (naked mole-rat)
Lineage: Eukaryota; Metazoa; Chordata; Mammalia; Rodentia; Bathyergidae
Source: RefSeq, a predicted model, not a curated record